GUGUCAGCAGCCGCGGUAAUACAGAGGUCCCGAGCGUUGUUCGGAUUCACUGGGCGUAAAGGGUGCGUAGGCGGUCUCGAAAGUCUGAUGUGAAAGCCCCGGGCCCAACCCGGGAAUGGCAUCGGAAACUGCGGGGCUAGAGGGUUGGAGGGGGGACUGGAAUUCUCGGUGUAGCAGUGAAAUGCGUAGAGAUCGAGAGGAACACCAGUGGCGAAGGCGAGUCCCUGGACAACCCCUGACGCUGAGGCACGAAAGCUAGGGGAGCAAACAGGAUUAGAAACCCGAGUAGUCC
RNAcentral lists this ribosomal RNA (292 nucleotides) under uncultured bacterium. RNAcentral describes it as "partial 16S ribosomal RNA". It matches the Rfam family "Bacterial small subunit ribosomal RNA", at positions 505 to 796 of the family's 1533-position model. The record is from RNAcentral.